RNAcentral lists this ribosomal RNA (253 nucleotides) under uncultured bacterium. RNAcentral describes it as "partial 16S ribosomal RNA". It matches the Rfam family "Bacterial small subunit ribosomal RNA", at positions 524 to 776 of the family's 1533-position model. The record is from RNAcentral.
UACGGAGGUGGCAAGCGUUGUUCGGAAUUACUGGGCGUAAAGCGCGUUCAGGCGGCCGCGCAAGUCGGGCAUGAAAUCUCUCGGCUCAACCGGGAGAGGCUGUCCGAUACUGCGUGGCUUGAGGGCAGUAGAGGGUGGUGGAAUUCCGGGUGUAGUGGUGAAAUGCGUAGAGAUCCGGAGGAACACCAGUGGCGAAGGCGGCCACCUGGACUGCCCCUGACGCUGAAACGCGAAAGCUAGGGGAGCGAACGGG